UGGAGGCAGCAGUGGGGAAUAUUGCACAAUGGAGGGAACUCUGAUGCAGCAACGCCGCGCGAAGGAUGAAGGUUUUCGGAUUGUAAACUUCUUUGAUGCGGGACGAAAGAAAUGACGGUACCGCAAAAACAAGCCACGGCUAACUACGUGCCAGCAGCCGCGGUAAUACGUAGGUGGCGAGCGUUGUCCGGAAUUACUGGGUGUAAAGGGCGUGUAGGCGGGAAUGUAAGUCAGAUGUGAAAUACCAGGGCUCAACUCUGGGGCUGCAUCUGAAACUAUGUUUCUUGAGUGCCGGAGAGGAAAGCGGAAUUCCCAGUGUAGCGGUGAAAUGCGUAGAUAUUGGGAGGAACACCAGUGGCGAAGGCGGCUUUCUGGACGGUAACUGACGCUGAGGCGCGAAAGCGUGGGGAGCAAACAGGAUUAGAUACCCUGGUAGU
Molecule: ribosomal RNA, 437 nt
Filed under: uncultured bacterium
Lineage: Bacteria
Description: bacterial SSU rRNA
Rfam family: Bacterial small subunit ribosomal RNA
Source: RNAcentral